GGCCUCCGUCGUAUAGUGGCAGUAUAGGGGGCUGUGGAUCAUAGCAGUGACCCCUUGGCCGGGGUUCGAUUCCCCGCGGAGGCCUCCA
This 88-nucleotide transfer RNA is filed under the name Candidatus Nitrosocaldaceae archaeon. Its description in RNAcentral is "tRNA-His". It matches the Rfam family "tRNA". Rfam says of the family: Transfer RNA (tRNA) molecules are approximately 80 nucleotides in length. Their secondary structure includes four short double-helical elements and three loops (D, anti-codon, and T loops). Further hydrogen bonds mediate the characteristic L-shaped molecular structure. tRNAs have two regions of fundamental functional importance: the anti-codon, which is responsible for specific mRNA codon recognition, and the 3' end, to which the tRNAs corresponding amino acid is attached (by aminoacyl-tRNA synthetases). tRNAs cope with the degeneracy of the genetic code in two manners: having more than one tRNA (with a specific anti-codon) for a particular amino acid; and 'wobble' base-pairing, i.e. permitting non-standard base-pairing at the 3rd anti-codon position. Lineage: Archaea; Thermoproteati; Nitrososphaerota; Nitrososphaeria; Candidatus Nitrosocaldales; Candidatus Nitrosocaldaceae. The record is from RNAcentral.